GUCAUACUUCCAAGAAAAGCUUGCACUGUCAUAAACAAAUAAUGCCUGUACCAUAACCGACACAGGUGGGUAGGUAGAGUAUACUAAGGGGCGCGAGAUAACUCUCUCUAAGGAACUCGGCAAAAUGACUCCGUAACUUCGGGAGAAGGAGUGCCUUAUUUAUAAGGUUGCAAUAACAAGAUCCAAGCAACUGUUUACCAAAAACACAGGUCUCCGCUAAGUCGUAAGACGAUGUAUGGGGGCUGACGCCUGCCCAGUGCCAGAAGGUUAAAGAAGUUGGUUAGCAUCCGCGAAGCUGAUAACUGAAGCCCUGGUGAACGGCGGCCGUAACAAUAACGGUCCUAAGGUAGCGAAAUUCCUUGUCGGGUAAGUUCCGACCCGCACGAAAGGCGUAAUGAUUUGGAUACUGUCUCGGAGAGGGGCUCGGUGAAAUAGACUUGUCUGUGAAGAUGCGGACUACCUGCACCAGGACAGAAAGACCCUAUGAAGCUUUACUGUAACCUGAAAUUGAAAUUGGACUUUACUUGCGCAGUAUAGGUGGGAGGCGUUGAGAAUAUUCUUGCGGGAUUACUGGAGCCAUCAGUGAGAUACCACUCUUGUAAUGUUAGAUUUCUAACUUUGUAUCAUUAUCUGGUCAAAGAACAGUUUCAGGCGGGCAGUUUGGCUGGGGCGGUCGCCUCCUAAACGGUAACGGAGGCGCACAAAGGUUUCCUCUGAACGGGUAGAAAUCGUAUCUAGAGUGUAAAGGCAUAAGGAAGCUUGACUGUGAGACCUACAAGUCGAGCAGGGACGAAAGUCGGUCUUAGUGAUCUGACGGUGCUGAGUGGAAAGGCCGUCACUCAACGGAUAAAAGUUACUCUAAGGAUAACAGGCUGAUCUCCCCCAAGAGUUCACAUCGACGGGGAGGUUUGGCACCUCGAUGUCGGCUCAUCGCAUCCUGGGGCGGUAGUACGUCCCAAGGGUUGGGCUGUUCGCCCAUGAAAGCGGUACGCGAGCUGGGUUCAGAACGUCGUGAGACAGUUCGGUCCAUAUCCGGUGUAGGCGUUAGAAUAUUGAGAGGAGCCUUCUUUAGUACGAGGGGACCGAGAAGGACAUACCUCUGGUGUACCAGUUAUCGUGCCAACGGUAAACGCUGGGUAGCUAUGUGUGGAGUGGAUAACCGCUGAAAGCAUCUAAGUGGGAAGCCCACCUCAAGAUAAGUAUUCUC
Molecule: ribosomal RNA, 1207 nt
Filed under: metagenome
Description: bacterial LSU rRNA
Rfam family: Bacterial large subunit ribosomal RNA
Source: RNAcentral